UGAGAGGGGGGAGGGUCAGAGGGAGAAGCAGACUCCCCGCGGAGCAGGGAGCCCGACGCGGGACUCCAUCCGUGGACUCCAGGAUCAUGACCCGAGCCGAAAGCAGUCGCUUAGCCAACUGAGCCAGCCAGGCGCCCCAAGAAGAUACUCGUAUUAAACCAGAAAGCGAUGCGCAUCCCGCGCAACCCGCCAAAGGGAUGCGAGGGCAGAGCGCAACCUCGCUGUCCUACGGGGCUCGACGAACCCAGCCCCGCGGAGGGCGGGGGGCCCUUAACCAGCCGGGACACGGGGCGCCAGCAGGGCCGCCAGGGACGCGCACUCGUCCGCAGACAGCAGCGCAGCGGAAGCACUGGCGGCUUGCGCCCCGAUGUGAACGCGGCAGCCGGCUCUCCGACCGGCCCCCCCGCAGCCGUUAGGGGACUUCCGCCCGCGCCCCCCCUGCGGUCGCACGCGCGCCCGGCGCUCGCGUGACGUCACUGCGGCCGGCUUCCGGGGGGCUGCGUGAUGACGCAGCGCGCGGGUGUGCGGGGGCGCUCCAUGUGUCUCCGGCGGCAGGCAACGUCGGGGCGGCGCGGGCAUCCGAUGCCAUCCGAGGUCGUCGGGGUUCCAGGCGGCGCCCGCCCCCGGCUGAGACCGGGUGAGCUCCGGCCGGGGUGCGGGCCGCGGCGGGGCGCCGGCCGAGCUUCCGAGGGAUGGGGUCGCGGCUGCCGCCGGGGGCGUGAACCCGGGGUCGGCCGACCGCGGCGUGCGCUGACCGCCUGUCCCCCCUCGCGGCGGUGCCCGGUCGGUCCCCUGCUGUCGCGGGAAGCUCUUGCGGAGCCCGCCCGGCCUGCGGCUGCGGAGUGUGAGCGGAGCGGCGGCCUCGGUGCCAGGAAGACUGCAGGGAGAGGCCGCUCUGGUCCAGGUGCAGAUGCUGAACACACCGGCCUGUGAGCUGCAUUCGGGAGACGCUCCCUGAGGCUCCUGUGUCUGCAGUCCUGGGAGCAAGGCGUUGGCUGAACUUUGGCCCAUCUUUUCAAGGAUGUUGGAGUAGCAGACAGCCUGGGGAUGGACGAG
RNAcentral lists this long non-coding RNA (1056 nucleotides) under Zalophus californianus (California sea lion). RNAcentral's name for it is "lncRNA (ENSZCAG00015019368.1)". The record is from RNAcentral. Lineage: Eukaryota; Metazoa; Chordata; Mammalia; Carnivora; Otariidae.